UCAAUAUGACAGUGACCUUUGAAAGCCCAAUUAUUGAGAGCCCUUUGCUUUUGUUUCAGAGGAUCCAGCGAUCUCCGAACCUGGGAAACUAGUGUUGUCUGAGACUCGAGGCACCUUGUGGGUGAUAGCUGUUUUUGUGCUCCUGAGUGUGCUGAUGGCUGCAGGCUGCACUGUUAGAUGGGGCCAAUUCAGAGCAAAGAACAACUUCUCCACCUUCAGCCUCGAGAAAGCUUCCAAAGAGCAGCUGGUGCCGGACAGGAGACCUUCAGACUCAUUUCCCUGAUGGGAAGCUGCAGUGCUGUGAGAUGGGACCCAACUCGGUGAUCCUCAUCACACUCCCUCCAAAUGCUGAUUGCACAGUUUCUGGGACAAGUUUUCUGGGGUUUGAUUGGGUGACAAUCACACUGGAGCAAUCAAGGACUCUUCCUUUGGCACAGGGAGCUUAGAUUGUGGGAUUAUAAUGGCAGUGGAAAAUCAGAAAUGACUGUCACUCAUGCUCUAAAAUCAACCCUACAAGAAUGUGAUGGAAACACUUGGAAUCUCAGAACGGGUCAUCCAUUUUCCCCCAUCCUAAAGACACACGCACACAAAAUGUGGGUUAUUCCACAAAAUGCUUCUCGCUGGAAUAGCUCUGGACAGUACAUAGUAUAGCCUCUGCAGUACAUUUGGCUGCUGUCCCUUCCAUGCCCACCAAGAGUCCAUUGAAAACUACCUCUUCCUACCAUGCUGUAUCUUGCCGGUAAGCAGAGCCAUUUGCUCCUGUUCCAGGGCAGGCCGUUCCAUUCCACACACCUAUGUGGGGCAGAGCUCAAAGUGACGUGGGUGUAUAAUUUAUAUCCCCGAGGAUACUGCUCAUAUUUCUAACACAUUAGCUCAAACUUCACAUACCAGAAGUUCUUAAAACAUCAUGUGACUGCAGGAGAACUGUCAAGGAGAUGGAUUACUGGAGAGUCUCCUGUAUGCUUCGCUUUUGCAUUGGGUCACAGCCCGUGCAGCAGCCCCUAGGCACAGCACAGGCAUUCAGGACCCGAGUGCAGUCAACUCCCAGUGCAGGCAAUGCAGGAGGUGCGCUAAGCUCCUUGCAGGAUUGGGCCUGUAGUUUCCACUUUGAAACUGAAAUCCCUGGACUUUGCAUCCUCUGUGCAGUUAGAAGAGUUUAUUAGCAGAUGUUUUAAGUUUUGACAAACAUCUGGAGCCAGCUUUGCUCUUCACUUUUACCUCUGAGUAGUCUUGUUAGCUGCAAUGUGUCUCCAUUUCAGAUCUUGGUCUGCCCAACGUUUUUUUGUGGACUGUUAUUAAAUGUGUAAAACACUAA
This is a non-coding RNA of Caretta caretta (loggerhead turtle), 1315 nucleotides long. NCBI's taxonomy places the organism in Eukaryota, Metazoa, Chordata, Testudines, Cheloniidae. The record is from RefSeq and is a predicted model, not a curated record.